CUUUUACUUAUUUGAUUCAUCUUCUCAACUAACUUGGUAAAUUUUUUUCUCAUCUCCUUUCCAUCUCUUUUCAAAAUUUCGGAUUUCAUGCUGAAAUUUUUUGACUCACUCUCUGUUGUGAUAGCUGCGUGUUCGCGCGUUUUAGUAGCAAAUCACUGUGUGAUAAGCCAUCUCAUCAUACUUUAACUCUUUUCAACUAAAAGGUGUUCCUUCAGUUUGGAGAUUCUAUUAGCCGAUCAUGUUUUGCAAAUUAUGUUAGAUUUCUCAUAAGCCGCUCAAAAUAGUUCACCACAAGAGGGGUAAAAGCUUUAUUAAAUUUUUGUGAAUUGUGCAUAUUGUUCCAAUAGCAGGUAGAUCGAUCACCUUCUACUUAUAUAAUGUUAUUGCUCUAUGUCAACUACAUUUUAUCUCCUUUCAGAAAGUGUGAGUUCAAAAUAAAUUACUUUCAAUAGUUGUCGAAGAAGAUACAUAAGGAGUUGCUAAUUUUUUUCUUGUCUGUGGAAUAUCAAGUGUUUUGGGAAGUGAGGGAGCACCGUUGUUUCUAAAUGCUGCUUUAUUCUUGGAGCGUUGAUCUUUCUUUAGCCUUUCUGGUUCUUUAAAUUGUAUCUAUAGAAUUAUUGAUAAACUUCGAUUCAUGACUAUUUCAAUUUGCAUUACACUUGUUUCAUGUUUCACAUAUCCAAUUCUCUGGCAAAGUUAUGACUAGGGAUAAGUUUUCCAACACAUUGUAUGAUCGUGCAUUAAUUUAUGCUGUAUGAGAGCAUUCAUACAAUUUUAACUGUGCUGAGAAGCCCUUUUGGAAUAGGAUUAAUGCACUAAAAGAAAAAUAUUAUUUCUACCAGAUGACCAAAUAAUAUCCUUAUCAACUAUUGUAAUGGCUUAAAUAGGUGGCCAUUGAUGCAUUUAAUAUUGGUGUGCAGGUUGGAUGGAGUAGGAUGUGAGCUUUGUCUCUUAUUAGCUCUGUGAGUGCUGUCUCUUUAUCAGCGCACAUUUACACAAGGAAACCUCACAUUUGUUAAAGUUCAACUCUUGAAAAUAAAUUGUAUCUCUUGUAAGUCUCCCAUAAGUAAAGAUAUAUAUUUGUUUGUUCGUGUUUGAUGAUCAAUCGUUUCAAGAAUUCUGUGACAUGGUCUUUUGUUCACCUUAAUCUUUUGCAUGAUGGAGAAUCGUUCUAACAAUCCAAUGACACUUUUAUGUA
Molecule: long non-coding RNA, 1198 nt
Organism: Nicotiana tabacum (common tobacco)
Lineage: Eukaryota; Viridiplantae; Streptophyta; Magnoliopsida; Solanales; Solanaceae
Source: RefSeq, a predicted model, not a curated record